GAGAGAGAUAAUACAGGAUUCCCUCCAGAAUCCAAACUGUACUCUUCUCUGGCUCAAACCCUGAUAUUUGGAGCUUUUCGAUCCAGUCAUCUUCUGUCAGGAAAAUCAACCUCAAAAACUGUGCUUUCUUUCAAGCAGCUUAGACGAUAUGAUCUUGCAUCCAUUCCUGCAUGUAGGAGGACCCUUUGAUAGAUAGGCUAACUGUGAGUUGGGGCCUGGGGUUCAAAUUGGAUCAAAAGUUCUGUAGAAAUAAAUACUCUACAAGUGUGGGGUUUUCUCUGUAUUCGUAUAACAGAUGUAGUAGAAAGGUAAGGGAGAAGUCACUCUAUUUUUUCAUAGCCUCUCUAGAUUAUUGAUGGAAUAAUGAUUUCUAUUGUCCAUAGAGGGUUAAAAGAUGCAUCUUAUUAACAAACAGAGGAUUCUUUGCUUUUAUGUUUUUCACACUUUGAGACUGAAUGGUAGAAAUUUUAGAAGUGCAGUACCAUAUUUAGAAGGAGCUUAAACUUAAGAAAACAUACAAUAUUUAGCCAGUAUUUGUAGGUGUUAAAAUAAAUGUGUUUCUUCUGAUAGGUAUCUUUAGAUUUUAGUGUCAAAAUAUAAAGAAUUUUAUAAAUUCUUAAGAAAAUGUGUAGAAGUAAUUUUCAUAUGCCAUCAUUUUCAUCAUAAACUUCUAUAGUCCGAAUAUAUGCUUGUUGACGAAAAAUAAGUGGUUGGGUCUUGUUGUCUUUGGUAGAUGAAUUUUAUGGAAUUCUCAUCACCCACUAUAUUUUCUGUUUGAUUGGGAUAAAAUAUUGAAGUGAUUGUGAAAGGAUAUAAACUCCUCACAUUCUGUUUCUCUGGAUUAGGGAGUAAAUCUUGCUUAGAUUAUUUUGGAUGUAUUCUCCAUGUUGUAAACAUUUAGUUGUUAUGCGUUAAAUAGUUCUACCCACUGGGGUGACUACAAUCUGACUGCACCUAUGCUCCUUUAGUAACAGAGUAACAGGCCAAAGAAUUCAUGAACUAAACUGUAUUUUUGUGAUUACACAUUGACAAAACCCUUAACUGAGUAAUUUUGUGUUCUAUUACCCCAACCCCUCAAAUGGUUGUGCUUCAUUAUUUAAAUUUUUAUCUAAAUAAAAGACAGAAGUUCGGAAUGCUACUCUCCUAGGAUUGUUAUAUUAAAGUAUAGACUGAUUGAUUUGUUUCUAUAUCAUAAUAUGCUCUACAGUCUAGAAUAAUCAGUUAUUGAAAUGCUUGAUAAUCUCGAAUGAUCUUUACCCAAUAUGAGCUAUUAUUUUCUUUUCAAGUUGGUAUGUUUUCUCACUGAACUAAUCAAGGACACUAAAUGCAUGAACCAUUAGGAAACUAUAAAUGACCAGCAACUCAUAUUAAAGCAGUGGGAAUGACCUGUGGUGCUCCACCUUCAGAGACGGGGGAAUACCUGAGUAAUCAUGUCUUGUUUUAAGUUUUCAUUCCUGUAAUGUUGUCUAUUUCCCUUAAAUUUAAUGUUGCAGGCAAAACUUGGAGAACUACUUCUCCUAUUGUGCAACAGAAAAGAAAACUCACUCUUUGAGAUGAAUGCUGUGAGCAUUGGCACUUACCUGCAC
This is a non-coding RNA of Sesamum indicum (sesame), 1586 nucleotides long. NCBI's taxonomy places the organism in Eukaryota, Viridiplantae, Streptophyta, Magnoliopsida, Lamiales, Pedaliaceae. The record is from RefSeq and is a predicted model, not a curated record.